This 430-nucleotide ribosomal RNA is filed under the name uncultured bacterium. RNAcentral describes it as "bacterial SSU rRNA". It matches the Rfam family "Archaeal small subunit ribosomal RNA", at positions 339 to 776 of the family's 1478-position model. The record is from RNAcentral.
UCGAGAAAACUUUGCAAUGUGCGAAAGCACGACAAGGUUAAUCCGAGUGGUUUCUGCUAAAGAAACCUUUUGUCAGUCCUAGAAACACUAACGAAUAAGGGGUGGGCAAGUUCUGGUGUCAGCCGCCGCGGUAAAACCAGCACCUCAAGUGGUCAGGAUGAUUAUUGGGCCUAAAGCAUCCGUAGCUCGUUUUGUAAGUUUUCGGUUAAAUCCAUGCGCUUAACGUAUGGGCUGCCGGGAAUACUGCAUAACUAGGAAGUGGGAGAGGUAGACGGUACUCGGUAGGAAGGGGUAAAAUCCUUUGAUCUAUUGAUGACCACCUGUGGCGAAGGCGGUCUACCAGAACACGUUCGACGGUGAGGGAUGAAAGCUGGGGGAGCAAACCGGAUUAGAUACCCCUGUAGUCCCUGAGCGGGCUGGCAAGGCGCAU